AACUCGGUUAUCGAGUGUUUGGUUGGGCGUUCCUUCCCACCCCGCGGUACUGGCAUUUUAAAGCGUCGUCAACUGAUUUCACAACUAAUUCAUUGUCCACUGGACGGAAGAAAUAGGCAAACAACAACAGCAACUUCAGCAACAGCACAACAUGGGUCUAGUGCGCAGGACCUGCCUAAUGGGAACCAUUACGAAAGAUGGUCCUGGCUUUGGUUUAGAUCUGGCGAGUAUGAAACCACAUCACCAACUGAAAUGGGCCAUACCAGAGUGCACUAAAUAUUAGAAAAAACGCUGCCGUUAUAGUACCAUUGGAGCGCAACGCAAUAAAUAUCGUUUUUUGAGGAUUGCUAAUCCAUUGGAAAUGGUGGGUAAUAGAGCUGGAAAACUAUCGAUAGUAUGGAUGGUUUGUGACUAUCGAAAACAUCGAUGGUAUUGUAAGCACUAUCGAUAGGUUUCACUCAUACAUAUAUUAUUCACUAAGAGAAAAAACCGGCGGUACCUGCUUUAUCUUGUGAGUCGGAAGGGACAUUUAGCAAAGCAGGGCAAAUAAUUUUAGAACGCAGAUACUGCUUGAAGCCAAAACUCGUUAAUAAACUUCUUUCCUCUAACACAAAUAUGGAAACAUUUUAGCUAUUCUAAUCUCAUUUUCAAUAAAAGUUUUUAUGUCUAAU
This is a long non-coding RNA of Rhagoletis pomonella (apple maggot), 671 nucleotides long. RefSeq lists it as uncharacterized. The transcript is spliced from 2 exons. The record is from RefSeq and is a predicted model, not a curated record. NCBI's taxonomy places the organism in Eukaryota, Metazoa, Arthropoda, Insecta, Diptera, Tephritidae.